AAACCAGCACCUCAAGUGGUCAGGAGGAUUAUUGGGCCUAAAGCAUCCGUAGCCUGUUCUAUAAGUUUCCGGUUAAAUCCAUUAGCUUAACUAAUGGGCUGCCGAAAAUACUGUAGAACUAGGGAGUGGGAGAGGUAGACGGUAUUCGGUAGGAAGGGGUAAAAUCCUUUGAUCUAUUGAGGACCACCUGUGGCGAAGGCGGUCUACCAGAACACGUUCGACGGUGAGGGAUGAAAGCUGGGGGAGCAAACCGGAUUAGAAACCCCGGUAGUCC
This 274-nucleotide ribosomal RNA is filed under the name uncultured bacterium. RNAcentral's name for it is "partial 16S ribosomal RNA". It matches the Rfam family "Archaeal small subunit ribosomal RNA", at positions 473 to 747 of the family's 1478-position model. The record is from RNAcentral.